UGCCUACUGGGGAGUAUGGUACGCGGUUGGGAAACUUAUGAGUAGAGUGCAACAAAAGUGCAGAGGACUCUGCAAAGUUUCAACGACGUCAAUGAUUUAGAUAACAUUGUUAAAAAAAAAGUGCGCAGAUGCAAUAUAAUAUUUUGCGAAAAUUAAAUGUUACGAUGUUAAAUGCGAUGAAAAAUGCUGUCGCCAAUGCAUCAGUUGAUUUAUAUGAAUAAUCUGUACGUUUACAGGUAACGAUUGUUUGCAAAAGAAAUCUACACGCAUUCCAAACGUCUACAAACAAAUUCACAUAUAUGAUUUUAUUGAUUUCUUUUGGUAAUACGUUAGCUCUCCUAUGGAUUUUGAGCCCCAGAGUUUUCGACCCAUUAGGGUAUAACAUAUUGCCAUCAACGCCAUAGGUACUAGAUACGUUACGCUCAAAAAUACGAUGUUAUAACUGUAACAAAAUAAAUGCUUCAUUGAAAAUACUAAAAUAAUUUCAUGAUAUUUAGAUAUAUGAACUGUUGCAUCCUAUAAUUAAGGGUUUAAGCUUAUUUUUACAACUACUACAGGUUACUUACAGACAAAUCUUUGAAAUUAGUGAUCGGAUCGAUAUCAAAUCAAUACUAUCGAUAACAGUUCGCAAAUUAUGACGUGUGAAUAGUAUCUAAGGCGUAGGUAUCAAAAAUACACAAAUAAUAAAUGUAUCAAUAUGUAAGUACAAAUAACAUUGUGUCAAAAUGCGUUUUCCUUUGAUAAGUCGCAAGAUGCGCAAAAUUUGAUAGGCGUGUAGACUUUUGCGGCUGAUCGUAUGUAUUCAUCGUCUGUUACAAUAUUUAUAGAAUUUUUCGCGGUCAUCGUGAAAAACUGAAAACGUGAUAUAAAUCCAGCAUUUUCUAAGAAUUAAUUAAAAGAGUCGCGUGGUGCAAUACACGUAGUUAUAUAAAAUCCAAACCCCGGGGAAAUUCCAUAACACUGACAGAAAUCGUCCGAAUAUACUUCGCGAUAUUGCACAAGUUUUAUUACUUCUCCACAAUACUACACAAUGGAAUGUGAGCGCGAGUGAGCGAAAAAUGUUCGCAUAGUAGCUUGUUUUCAGCAGUGGAUCAAUUCAAUGCUGUCAUCGAUCAAUUAUAUCUGAACAUUCCAGUCAGUUUUAACUUUAACGUUCAAACGAGUCAGAAUUAUAAAGCUAUCGAACGAUCAGGAGAAUAAAAUGACUUUAACAACAUGGUAAUUCGAAACCUUUACUUAUUCAAAUUUGUUGCCUUAAAUA
This 1261-nucleotide unclassified non-coding RNA is filed under the name Bombus terrestris (buff-tailed bumblebee). RNAcentral describes it as "misc RNA ENSBTSG00005036338.1". The record is from RNAcentral. Lineage: Eukaryota; Metazoa; Arthropoda; Insecta; Hymenoptera; Apidae.